This 72-nucleotide transfer RNA is filed under the name Camelus dromedarius (Arabian camel). It matches the Rfam family "tRNA". From Rfam's summary of the family: Transfer RNA (tRNA) molecules are approximately 80 nucleotides in length. Their secondary structure includes four short double-helical elements and three loops (D, anti-codon, and T loops). RNAcentral also lists the same sequence under 1 other name. Lineage: Eukaryota; Metazoa; Chordata; Mammalia; Artiodactyla; Camelidae. The record is from Rfam by way of RNAcentral.
GAAAGUAUAGCUCAGUGGCAGAGCAUGUGCUUAGCAUGCGCAAGGUCCUGGGUUCAAUCCCCAGCACCUCCA